ACUCCUACGGGAGGCAGCAGUAGGGAAUAUUGCACAAUGGAGGAAACUCUGAUGCAGCGACGCCGCGUGAGUGACGAAGGCCUUCGGGUUGUAAAGCUCUGUUCUCUGGGAAAAAGAAAGUGAUUGUACCAGAGAAGAAAGGACCGGCUAACUUCGUGCCAGCAGCCGCGGUAAU
This 175-nucleotide ribosomal RNA is filed under the name uncultured bacterium. RNAcentral's name for it is "partial 16S ribosomal RNA". It matches the Rfam family "Bacterial small subunit ribosomal RNA", at positions 335 to 524 of the family's 1533-position model. The record is from RNAcentral.